UUUAAGGUCUAACCUGCCCAAUGAGGAUUUAAAUGGCCGCAGUAUUUUGACUGUGCAAAGGUAGCAUAAUUAUUAGUUUUUUAAUUGAAAGCUUGUAUGAAGGGUUGGACGAGAUAAAAUCUGUCUUUAUUUAAAUUAGAGUAUAACUUAACUUUUAAGUCAAAAGGCUUAAAUGUUUAUAAAAGACGAGAAGACCCUAUAGAUCUUUAUUUAUUUAAGAUUUUAAUAAUUUAGGAUUAUUUUAAUUUGAAGUUUUAAAUAAAUUUUAUUGGGGUAAUAUAAAGAUUAAAUAAAUUCUUUUUAUUUAUUACAUUGAUUUAUGAAUAUAUGAUCCAUUAAUACUGAUUAUAAGAUUAAGUUACCUUAGGGAUAACAGCGUAAUUUUUUUGGAGAGCUCAUAUCGAUAAGAAAGUUUGCGACCUCGAUGUUGGAUUAAAAAUUAGCUUGGGUGCAGAAGCUCAAGAUUUUGGUCUGUUCGACCAUUAAAUUUUUACAUGAUCUGAGUUCAGACCGGCGUAAGCCAGGUCGGUUUCUAUCUUUAUUUAAAUAAAAUGUUUUAGUACGAAAGGACCAAAUGUUUAAUAUAGUUAUAUUUAUUUUU
RNAcentral lists this ribosomal RNA (601 nucleotides) under Cicindela (Rivacindela) sp. JP-59b. RNAcentral describes it as "partial 16S ribosomal RNA". It matches the Rfam family "Bacterial large subunit ribosomal RNA", at positions 1844 to 2725 of the family's 2925-position model. The record is from RNAcentral. Lineage: Eukaryota; Metazoa; Arthropoda; Insecta; Coleoptera; Carabidae.